CGAGAGGAUGGGGAGGAGGGGGCGGGAUAUCUGAUCUAUCCGGGUCCCUUCUUUUCUUCCUACUGAUGAAGAAAAAGAAAAAAGAAAGAACCCCGUGCCGGCCCCUCAACCAUUCCUACGCAACGAUUUUCGAUUUUUCGGAUUUUCGAUUUUUCAGCGUUCGGACCGGCAGAGGAGGGGAGAAUUCUAACAAUUCCUUACAGCAGUAAACAAGCAACUUACAAAACAGAGCUGGUGGGGGAAACCGCGCUGCUUUGUUAUCGCUCCAAAGAAGCUGAAAGGGACAAGCCGCUUGCUCCUGGACGAUUAUUUUAAUUAAAAUACGAUGAUGAUAAUGAUGUAGAUGAUGACAUUAGCAACUACAAUAACUGGCAAAACAAAAUCCUUUCUUCUGGAGCUAGGGCGGCACUGACGGUCUCUCCAUGAAGCCCGGCCCCAGCCACCAAUGCGACGGGUACCCGACCCACGCGGGAAUGUCGCUCACCCGGGGAAGGGGUGGAAAACUGUUUCUUGGAGAUGAUCCCGAGGGUCCCCACCCGAGGCGCGAGGCCUGGAGAAUGCGCCCAUUGUCUUUUCCGGGCCUCGCCCACAGACCCCAAGGCCGCACCGCGAAACUGACCAGAAAUGGACGAAGCCUGAGUGCGUCGGGAACGAAGCCGGUGGCUACCGGCUUGAAGGCGCGGGCCUCGGCGGGCGCUGCUCAGCUUCAAGCCUGAAGAACCUCCCACUCACUGACAAACCCCUCAAACACCGAGGCACAGACUGGCCUCCGGACAGAGCGGCCGCCGACCGGGCUCCGUCUGCCCCUCCAAGCCGACACUGGCUUCCGAAUAUAUCAUAAUAUGGAAUAAAACGUGAAAUCCUUC
RNAcentral lists this long non-coding RNA (866 nucleotides) under Equus asinus (donkey). RNAcentral describes it as "lncRNA (ENSEASG00005029628.1)". Lineage: Eukaryota; Metazoa; Chordata; Mammalia; Perissodactyla; Equidae. The record is from RNAcentral.